AUUGAACGCUGGCGGCAGGCCUAACACAUGCAAGUCGAGCGGACGAAGGGAGCUUGCUCCUGGAUUCAGCGGCGGACGGGUGAGUAAUGCCUAGGAAUCUGCCUGGUAGCGGGGGAUAACGUCCGGAAACGGGCGCUAAUAUCGCAUACGUCCUGAGGGAGAAAGUGGGGGAUCUUCGGACCUCACGCUAUCAGAUGAGCCUAGGUCGGAUUAGCUAGUUGGUGGGGUAAAGGCCUACCAAGGCGACGAUCCGUAACUGGUCUGAGAGGAUGAUCAGUCACAUUGGAACUGAGACACGGUCCAGACUCCUACGGGAGGCAGCAGUGGGGAAUCUUGCGCGAGGGGGGAAAGCCUGAUCCAGCCAUGCCGGGUGUGUGAUGAAGGUCUUCGGAUUGGAAAGCGCUUUAAGUUGGGAGGAAGUGCAGUAAUUUAAUACCUUGCUAUUUUGACGUUACCAACAGAAUAAGCACCGGCUAACUUCGUG
Molecule: ribosomal RNA, 484 nt
Filed under: uncultured bacterium
Lineage: Bacteria
Description: partial 16S ribosomal RNA
Rfam family: Bacterial small subunit ribosomal RNA
Source: RNAcentral